AGAACGUUCAAACGUGAUGAUAUUGCCGCAAAGGUUUUAUUCUACACGGAAAGAAGGCUUAUUAAAAUCUGUCUAACAGUGAAGAGACGCAAGAACAAAAAGGACUCGUGAGUUCGAAGCGCUUUAGACUCUUGUGAACACGAGACAGUUUUAGAGAGCACCGCAAAUAUAUUCCACAGAGCGAUGAACUCUGUAGCUAUUAAACGUAUAUACGUAUAUACACUUCCGUCCUAGAAUAGUCACUAUGUCCUUUUAUCGUAUCCGUUUUACUUAAGCGUCCGUCGAUGGUAAAUUCUUUUCCAGCAAUUCUGAAACAGUGCAAAUUAUCGGCAAGAUCGAUAUCAGGCAGUGUAAUUGUUACAUAUAACAUAUGCCAUAUUACAGCGAUAUAUAUUACGAUUUAUAUUACUGAGUGAGAAACUAUAAUAUCAAUCAACAAUAAAAUUAUUGUUAGUUUGUA
Pogonomyrmex barbatus (red harvester ant) is the source of this 460-nucleotide long non-coding RNA. The record is from RefSeq and is a predicted model, not a curated record. Lineage: Eukaryota; Metazoa; Arthropoda; Insecta; Hymenoptera; Formicidae.